Molecule: ribosomal RNA, 1423 nt
Filed under: uncultured organism
Description: SSU rRNA
Rfam family: Bacterial small subunit ribosomal RNA
Source: RNAcentral
CACAUGCAAGUCGAGGGGCAGCAUUUUUCUUUCAAUAGAAGAGAUGGCGACCGGCGCACGGGUGAGUAACACGUAUCCAACCUACCGAUAACUCUGGAAUAGCCUUUCGAAAGAAAGAUUAAUACCGGAUAGUAUACGAAUAUCGCAUGAUAUUUUUAUUAAAGAAUUUCGGUUAUCGAUGGGGAUGCGUUCCAUUAGUUUGUUGGCGGGGUAACGGCCCACCAAGACUACGAUGGAUAGGGGUUCUGAGAGGAAGGUCCCCCACAUUGGAACUGAGACACGGUCCAAACUCCUACGGGAGGCAGCAGUGAGGAAUAUUGGUCAAUGGGCGCAGGCCUGAACCAGCCAAGUAGCGUGAAGGAUGAAGGCUCUAUGGGUCGUAAACUUCUUUUAUAUGGGAAUAAAGUUUUCCACGUGUGGAAUUUUGUAUGUACCAUAUGAAUAAGGAUCGGCUAACUCCGUGCCAGCAGCCGCGGUAAUACGGAGGAUCCGAGCGUUAUCCGGAUUUAUUGGGUUUAAAGGGAGCGUAGGUGGAUUGUUAAGUCAGUUGUGAAAGUUUGCGGCUCAACCGUAAAAUUGCAGUUGAAACUGGUAGUCUUGAGUACAGUAGAGGUGGGCGGAAUUCGUGGUGUAGCGGUGAAAUGCUUAGAUAUCACGAAGAACUCCGAUUGCGAAGGCAGCUCACUAGACUGUAACUGACACUGAUGCUCGAAAGUGUGGGUAUCAAACAGGAUUAGAUACCCUGGUAGUCCACACAGUAAACGAUGAAUACUCGCUGUUUGCGAUAUACAGUAAGCGGCCAAGCGAAAGCAUUAAGUAUUCCACCUGGGGAGUACGCCGGCAACGGUGAAACUCAAAGGAAUUGACGGGGGCCCGCACAAGCGGAGGAACAUGUGGUUUAAUUCGAUGAUACGCGAGGAACCUUACCCGGGCUUAAAUUGCAACAGAAUAUAUUGGAAACAGUAUAGCCGUAAGGCUGUUGUGAAGGUGCUGCAUGGUUGUCGUCAGCUCGUGCCGUGAGGUGUCGGCUUAAGUGCCAUAACGAGCGCAACCCUUAUCUUUAGUUACUAACAGGUCAUGCUGAGGACUCUAGAGAGACUGCCGUCGUAAGAUGUGAGGAAGGUGGGGAUGACGUCAAAUCAGCACGGCCCUUACGUCCGGGGCUACACACGUGUUACAAUGGGGGGUACAGAAGGCAGCUACACGGCGACGUGAUGCUAAUCCCAAAAACCUCUCUCAGUUCGGAUCGAAGUCUGCAACCCGACUUCGUGAAGCUGGAUUCGCUAGUAAUCGCGCAUCAGCCAUGGCGCGGUGAAUACGUUCCCGGGCCUUGUACACACCGCCCGUCAAGCCAUGAAAGCCGGGGGUACCUGAAGUACGUAAAGGCAAGGAGCGUCCUAGGGUAAAACUGGUAAUUGGGCCU